ACGAACGCUGGCGGCGUGCUUCACACAUGCAAGUCGAACGGAAAGGCCCUGCUUUUGUGGGGUGCUCGAGUGGCGAACGGGUGAGUAACACGUGAGUAACCUGCCCUUGACUUUGGGAUAACUUCAGGAAACUGGGGCUAAUACCGGAUAGGAGCUCCUGCUGCAUGGUGGGGGUUGGAAAGUUUCGGCGGUUGGGGAUGGACUCGCGGCUUAUCAGCUUGUUGGUGGGGUAGUGGCUUACCAAGGCUUUGACGGGUAGCCGGCCUGAGAGGGUGACCGGCCACAUUGGGACUGAGAUACGGCCCAGACGGCUACGGGAGGCAGCAGUGGGGAAUAUGGCACAAUGGGCGGAAGCCUGAGGCAGCGACGCCGCGUGCGGGAUGACGGCCUUCGGGUUGUAAACCGCUUUCGCCUGUGACGAAGCGUGAGUGACGGUAAUGGGUAAAGAAGCACCGGCUAACUACGUG
Molecule: ribosomal RNA, 467 nt
Filed under: uncultured bacterium
Lineage: Bacteria
Description: partial 16S ribosomal RNA
Rfam family: Bacterial small subunit ribosomal RNA
Source: RNAcentral